CUCCCAUGACCAACAAGGCUUCUUCAGGCCCCAAACAUUUUAAUAACACUUUUUCGGCUGUUCUCUUAUAAAGUUGUUUAUUUAAUAAACAAUAGCCGAGUGCUCUUCUUUGAAUAUUAUAGUCGAGUCGCUUGUUAGAGUCUUGUAAAUAUCCAAUUAUAGACUUUCUCCGGUCUUCUUUGACCUCUAUAGGAACGAUUAUUUUCGGCUCUCGUAUAUGAACCGAUGGUAAUAGCCUUCGUACCAUUUUCACUUGAUCCUGUUUCGAUUCUUUAUACCCUGAGGCCGAUUGGGCUAAUUCAUUAGCCUGUUUAUUUCCUUCUCUGGGCAAAUACUCAAACUCAACCUUCCCAAAACUGCAAAGUAAUUAUAUCGUUUUUCUCAAAUAAUUUUACAAAUUUCGAUUUUUACAUCAGAAUUCUCCAUUCACCUACUUAAUUACCAAUUGUGAAUCACCGAUGACCUUGAGCGAAUAUACUCCUAAUUCUUAUAAAAUUUCAAUGCCAAUUAUUAAGGCCUCAUAUUCGGCUUGGUUAUUAGAAUAACCAAAAUUUAAUUCAAAAGUAAAUCGAUGAAUAUAUCCUUCAGGAGACUGUAUAACCACCCCAGCUCCUGCGGAUUCGUCU
Molecule: long non-coding RNA, 626 nt
Filed under: Ananas comosus (pineapple)
Lineage: Eukaryota; Viridiplantae; Streptophyta; Magnoliopsida; Poales; Bromeliaceae
Description: long non-coding RNA (ACOM_LNC017957)
Source: RNAcentral